Molecule: ribosomal RNA, 451 nt
Filed under: uncultured bacterium
Lineage: Bacteria
Description: bacterial SSU rRNA
Rfam family: Bacterial small subunit ribosomal RNA
Source: RNAcentral
GUAGGGAAUAUUGCGCAAUGGAGGAAACUCUGACGCAGCGACGCCGCGUGGGUGACGAAGGCCUUCGGGUCGUAAAGCCCUGUCGGAAGGGAAGAAAAAUAUACUGGCUAACAUCCAGUGUACUUGACGGUACCUUUAAAGGAAGCACCGGCUAACUACGUGCCAGCAGCCGCGGUAAUACGUAGGGUGCAAGCGUUGUUCGGAAUCAUUGGGCGUAAAGCGCGUGUAGGUCGUUAAGUAAGUCGGGUGUGAAAUCCCUCGGCUCAACCGAGGAAGUGCAUCCGAAACUGCUUAGCUAGAGGACGGUAGAGGAAGGUGGAAUUCCUAGUGUAGAGGUGAAAUUCGUAGAUAUUAGGAGGAAUACCGGUGGCGAAGGCGGCCUUCUGGGCCGUUCCUGACACUGAGACGCGAAAGCGUGGGUAGCAAACAGGAUUAGAAACCCCAGUAGUCC